This 252-nucleotide ribosomal RNA is filed under the name uncultured microorganism. Its description in RNAcentral is "partial 16S ribosomal RNA". It matches the Rfam family "Bacterial small subunit ribosomal RNA", at positions 524 to 776 of the family's 1533-position model. The record is from RNAcentral.
UACGUAGGUCCCGAGCGUUGUUCGGAUUUAUUGGGCGUAAAGCGAGCGCAGGUGGUUUAAUAAGUCUGAUGUAAAAGGCAGUGGCUCAACCAUUGUGUGCAUUGGAAACUGUUAGACUUGAGUGCAGUAGAGGAGAGUGGAAUUCCAUGUGUAGCGGUGAAAUGCGUAGAUAUAUGGAGGAACACCGGUGGCGAAAGCGGCUCUCUGGCCUGUAACUGACACUGAGGCUCGAAAGCUAGGGGAGCAAACAGG